CAGUAGCCACGGUAAAACGUAGGUGGCAAGCGUUGUCCGGAAUUAUUGGGCGUAAAGGGCUCGCAGGCGGUUUCUUAAGUCUGAUGUGAAAGCCCCCGGCUCAACCGGGGAGGGUCAUUGGAAACUGGGAAACUUGAGUACAGAAGAGGAGAGUGGAAUUCCACGUGUAGCGGUGAAAUGCGUAGAGAUGUGGAGGAACACCAGUGGCGAAGGCGACUCUCUGGUCUGUAACUGACGCUGAGGAGCGAAAGCGUGGGGAGCGAACAGGAUUAGAUACCCCAGUAGUCCCUGUCUCUUAUCA
Molecule: ribosomal RNA, 301 nt
Filed under: uncultured bacterium
Lineage: Bacteria
Description: partial 16S ribosomal RNA
Rfam family: Bacterial small subunit ribosomal RNA
Source: RNAcentral